GAUGAAGAACGUAGCGAAAUGCGAUAAGUAAUGUGAAUUGCAGAAUUCAGUGAAUCAUCGAAUCUUUGAACGCACAUUGCGCCCGCCAGUAUUCUGGCGGGCAUGCCUGUUCGAGCGUCAUUACAACCCUCAGGCCCCCGGGCCUGGCGUUGGGGAUCGGCGGAAGCCCCCCGUGGGCACACGCCGUCCCCCAAAUGCAGUGGCGGUCCCGCCGCAGCUUCCAUCGCGUAGUAGCUAACACCUCGCGACUGGAGAGCGGCGCGGCCACGCCGUAAAACACCCAACUCUUCUGAAGUUGACCUCGAAUCAGGUAGGAAUACCCGCUGAACUUAAGCAUAUCAAUAAGCGGAGGA
This 353-nucleotide unclassified non-coding RNA is filed under the name soil metagenome. RNAcentral's name for it is "partial contains 5.8S ribosomal RNA, internal transcribed spacer 2, and large subunit ribosomal RNA". The stretch from base 1 to 120 matches the Rfam family "5.8S ribosomal RNA", at positions 35 to 154 of the family's 154-position model. The record is from RNAcentral.